This 1370-nucleotide long non-coding RNA is filed under the name Junco hyemalis (dark-eyed junco). RNAcentral describes it as "lncRNA (ENSJHYG00000000791.1)". Lineage: Eukaryota; Metazoa; Chordata; Aves; Passeriformes; Passerellidae. The record is from RNAcentral.
CCCCAAAUUUCCAUAUUUCCCCAAAAUUCCUCCUGGAACCCCCAAAAUUUCCAUUUUUCACUCAGAAAAUUCCCUUUUUUCCCCAAAUCUCCAUUUUUUACCCCCAAAAAUUCCCAAUUUUUCCCCCAGAAUAUCUCCAGGAACCCCAAAAAUUCCCAUUUUUCACCCCAAAAAUUCCCAUUUUCUCCCCAAAAUUCCCUUUUUUCACCCCAAAAAUCCUCCCCAAACCCAAAAAUUUCCAUAUUUUCACCCAAAAAUUCCCAUUUUUUACCCAAAAAUCCCAUUUUUUACCCAAAAAUUCCCUUUUUUCCCCCAAAAAAGGCACCAAAACCCCAAAAUUCCAGAGCAUUUCCUUUAUUGGGGGAGGGGCCCCGAAUUUCCCCAAUUUUGGGGCUUUUUGGGGCAAAACCUCCCCAAUGUUUUUACUUUUUUGGGCAAAACCCUCAAAUUUGGGGAUUUUUUAGGAGAAACUCCAAUUUUCACAAUUUUCGGGAUUUUUUUAGGGGCAAAACCCCAAAAUUUGGGAUUUUUUUGGGAGCUGAACCCCCAAAUUUUGGGGUUUAUUUGGAGGCAGAAACCUCAAAAUUUUGGGAUUUUUUUCCCCCCAAAUUCUGGGAUUUCUUUGGGCUGGAAAUUUUCCCAACUUUUGGGGAUUUUUGGGGGGCAAAAGCUCCAAAUUUUCCCAAUUUUGGGGUUUUUUUGUUUAUUUUGGGGCCGAACCCCCAAAUUUGGGGAUUUUUGGGGUUUUUUUGGGGGGGGUCCCUCCGACAGCGCCGAUUUUGGGGGGAGGGGAGGGGAGGAAGAGGAAGAGGAGGGAGAGAAACCCAAAGGCGGCGAGGCCGAAGGCUCAGGAGGAGGAAGAGGAGGGAAUACAACCGAACCCGACGAGGCCGAAGGCUCACGAGGAGGAGGAGGAGGAGGAUGAAGGCCCCUCAUUUCACAGCGAGGAUGAUGAGGGUCCCUCACCCCCCUGAGGAGGAGGAGGAAACCCAACCCGACGAGGCCAAAGGCUCAGGAAGGGGAGGAUGAUGAUGAUGACGACGAAGGCCUCCCCCUCUCGUUUCGCGGCGAGGAUGAUGAAGGUGAAGACGAUGAAGACGACGAAGCUCUCCCAUCCCCAGGCGAGGAAGAUGAAGGUGAGGAUGAUGAAGGUGAUGAAGGUGACGGUGAAUUCCCUUCCCGGGGCUGAUGAAGACGAUGGUGAUGAAGGACAGGAUGACGACGAUGAUGAUGAAGGUCAGGACGAGGAGGAUGAUGAAGGUCAGGACGAGGACGAUGAGGAUGAUGAUGAAGCUCAGGAGGAUGAUGAGGAUGAUGAAGGCCAGGAUGAUGAAGAUGAUGAAGACGAAGGUGACGAAGGCGAGGAUGAG